ACGAACGCUGGCGGCGUGCUUAACACAUGCAAGUCGAGCGGUAAGGCCCUUUCGGGGGUACACGAGCGGCGAACGGGUGAGUAACACGUGGGUGACCUGCCCUUAGCUCUGGGAUAAGCCUGGGAAACUGGGUCUAAUACCGGAUAUGACUCCAUGACGCAUGUUGUGGGGUGGAAGGCCUUGUGCGGCUAGGGAUGGGCCCGCGGCCUAUCAGCUUGUUGGAGGGGUGAUGGCCUACCAAGGCGACGACGGGUAGCCGGCCUGAGAGGGCGACCGGCCACACUGGGACUGAGAUACGGCCCAGACUCCCACGGGAGGCAGCAGUGGGGAAUCUUGCGCAAUGGGCGAAAGCCUGACGCAGCGACGCCGCGUGA
RNAcentral lists this ribosomal RNA (374 nucleotides) under uncultured bacterium. RNAcentral describes it as "bacterial SSU rRNA". It matches the Rfam family "Bacterial small subunit ribosomal RNA", at positions 29 to 404 of the family's 1533-position model. The record is from RNAcentral.